This 301-nucleotide ribosomal RNA is filed under the name uncultured bacterium. Its description in RNAcentral is "partial 16S ribosomal RNA". It matches the Rfam family "Bacterial small subunit ribosomal RNA", at positions 509 to 807 of the family's 1533-position model. The record is from RNAcentral.
CAGCCGCCGCGGUAAUACAGAGGGUGCGGGCGUUAAUCGGAAUUACUGGGCGUAAAGGGCGCGUAGGCGGUUAGGAAGGUGUGAUGUGAAAGCCCUGGGCUUAACCUAGGAAGUGCAUCGCAAACCAACUAGCUGGAGUAUAAGAGAGGGUGGCGGAGUUUCCGGUGUAGCGGUGAAAUGCGUAGAGAUCGGAAGGAACGUCAAUGGCGAAGGCAGCCACCUGGCUUAAUACUGACGCUGAGGCGCGAAAGCGUGGGGAGCGAACAGGAUUAGAUACCCCUGUAGUCCCUGUCUCUUAUAC